Molecule: ribosomal RNA, 292 nt
Filed under: uncultured bacterium
Lineage: Bacteria
Description: partial 16S ribosomal RNA
Rfam family: Bacterial small subunit ribosomal RNA
Source: RNAcentral
GUGCCAGCCGCCGCGGUAAAACGUAGGAGGCGAGCGUUAUCCGGAUUUACUGGGUGUAAAGCGCAUGCAGGCGGUUCGUUAAGUUGGAUGUGAAAGCUCCUGGCUUAACUGGGAGAGGUCGUUCAAAACUAGCGAACUCGAGGAUGGUAAGGGAAAGCGGAAUUCCGGGUGUAGUGGUGAAAUGCGUAGAUAUCCGGAGGAACACCAGUGGCGAAGGCGGCUUUCUGGACCAUGACUGACGCUCAGAUGCGAAAGCUAGGGUAGCAAACGGGAUUAGAAACCCCUGUAGUCC